CCUACGGGUGGCAGCAGUGGGGAAUAUUGGACAAUGGGCGAAAGCCUGAUCCAGCCAUGCCGCGUGUGUGAAGAAGGCCUUCGGGUUGUAAAGCACUUUCAGUCGGGAAGAAAGCCUUUGGGCUAAUACCCUCGAGGAAGGACAUCACCCACAGAAGAAGCACCGGCUAACUCCGUGCCAGCAGCCGCGGUAAUACGGAGGGUGCGAGCGUUAAUCGGAAUUACUGGGCGUAAAGCGCGCGUAGGCGGUCUGAUAAGCCGGUUGUGAAAGCCCCGGGCUCAACCUGGGAACGGCAUCCGGAACUGGCAGGCUAGAGUGCAGGAGAGGAAGGUAGAAUUCCCGGUGUAGCGGUGAAAUGCGUAGAGAUCGGGAGGAAUACCAGUGGCGAAGGCGGCCUUCUGGACUGACACUGACGCUGAGGUGCGAAAGCGUGGGUAGCAAACAGGAUUAGAUACCCGGGUAGUC
RNAcentral lists this ribosomal RNA (465 nucleotides) under Vreelandella stevensii. RNAcentral's name for it is "partial 16S ribosomal RNA". It matches the Rfam family "Bacterial small subunit ribosomal RNA", at positions 338 to 795 of the family's 1533-position model. The record is from RNAcentral. Lineage: Bacteria; Pseudomonadati; Pseudomonadota; Gammaproteobacteria; Oceanospirillales; Halomonadaceae.